UGGGGCGUAGCCAAGCUGGUAAGGCACCGGUUUUUGGUACCGGGUACCGUAGGUUCGAGUCCUACCGCCCCAGCCA
This 76-nucleotide transfer RNA is filed under the name Epibacterium sp. DP7N7-1. RNAcentral describes it as "tRNA-Gln". It matches the Rfam family "tRNA". Rfam says of the family: Transfer RNA (tRNA) molecules are approximately 80 nucleotides in length. The record is from RNAcentral. Lineage: Bacteria; Pseudomonadati; Pseudomonadota; Alphaproteobacteria; Rhodobacterales; Roseobacteraceae.